GUCUACAGCCAUGCUACCCUGAUCUUGGAAGCUAAGCAAGGUUGGGCCUGGUUAGUACUUGGAUGGGAGACCACCUAGGAAGACCAGGUGCUGUAGGCA
This 99-nucleotide ribosomal RNA is filed under the name Pteropus alecto (black flying fox). Lineage: Eukaryota; Metazoa; Chordata; Mammalia; Chiroptera; Pteropodidae. The record is from RNAcentral.